AGCGUAGACGGUGUGGCAAGUCUGAUGUGAAAGGCAUGGGCUCAACCCGUGGACUGCAUUGGAAGCUGUCAUACUUGAGUGCCGGAGGGGUAAGCGGAAUUCCUAGUGUAGCGGUGAAAUGCGUAGAUAUUAGGAGGAACACCAGUGGCGAAGGCGGCUUACUGGACGGUAACUGACGUUGAGGCUCGAAAGCGUGGGAGCAAACA
RNAcentral lists this ribosomal RNA (206 nucleotides) under uncultured bacterium. RNAcentral's name for it is "partial 16S ribosomal RNA". It matches the Rfam family "Bacterial small subunit ribosomal RNA", at positions 568 to 774 of the family's 1533-position model. The record is from RNAcentral.